This 57-nucleotide transfer RNA is filed under the name Diaphorina citri (Asian citrus psyllid). It matches the Rfam family "tRNA", at positions 8 to 63 of the family's 71-position model. From Rfam's summary of the family: Transfer RNA (tRNA) molecules are approximately 80 nucleotides in length. Their secondary structure includes four short double-helical elements and three loops (D, anti-codon, and T loops). Further hydrogen bonds mediate the characteristic L-shaped molecular structure. tRNAs have two regions of fundamental functional importance: the anti-codon, which is responsible for specific mRNA codon recognition, and the 3' end, to which the tRNAs corresponding amino acid is attached (by aminoacyl-tRNA synthetases). tRNAs cope with the degeneracy of the genetic code in two manners: having more than one tRNA (with a specific anti-codon) for a particular amino acid; and 'wobble' base-pairing, i.e. permitting non-standard base-pairing at the 3rd anti-codon position. Lineage: Eukaryota; Metazoa; Arthropoda; Insecta; Hemiptera; Psyllidae. The record is from Rfam by way of RNAcentral.
UGGUGUAGUGGUCACUGCGCUCGCCUUGCACGCGGGAGACCCGGGUUCGAUUCCCGG